AACGGGAACUUCAAAACUCGUCCGAACAACUCCCACCAUAAUUUCUAGUUGCUAUUAGGAUUCCAGUGAUUUUUGAUGGGUUUUUUAUAAUGCUCCGAAGAUGUCUUGGUUACGUAGGGUUAGAGGUGCGCACCUCCAGAACCCUCACAUUUUUUUGAUGAAAAAACUCCUCUCACCCUUGUUCCUUGCUAUCUAUUUAUAAGGGAAGUUAGGGUUUUGAAAGAGUAUAAUUCAAACCCAAAAAUUCAAAAUUAUUCCAAAAAAUUUUGAUAUCCAUAGUGAGACAAAGGGCCUUUGUACUCAAGAAUCAAUAGAGAGGUAGAGAAAAAGAGUUGUUUGGCUUUGAAAAAGGGACGUUGGCUGUGUUAGUCAAAUGGGUGAAUUAACUUUUUACCAAAAUAGUGAGUCAUGGGCUGAAAAUUGUUAAAGCCUUCUGAAUUUUGGCCAUGAAUGAAUAAACCAUGAGGGCAAAAUAGUAAAUAGGGGAAAUUUUAGGUAUUGCCAUUGGUUGACCGUCGUUGUUGCUGCAUUGCUAUUACAACGUUGAGGUUGUACAUUGUUUUUGUUACUCUAUGAAAUCGCUGGAUUAUUGUUAUCGUCGUUUGCCGUUGUUGAAAUUGAUACGGCAUUUGCUGUUGUUGUUUGUGUAUUGUCAUUUUUUUGCUGUUAGGUGGAAAGAAGAAUAGGGGGUGGGGGUCAGGUAUGGAUGUGGUUUUAAUGUUAGGCCGGGUGUUGGCUGGUGAGAGCUAUUGGGACGCUAGUGUUGUUAACGGCUGGCCCAAUUUUAGGUGAGAAAAAAGGGUCGAUGAUGUUGUUUGAUAUUGAUGUUGGGCCUGUUUUAAAGGUGGUGGGCUGGUGUUGGUGUUAUUGUUAUUUGAGGGGGUGUUGGGACGGUUGGAGUUGAUCGGGUCAGCUGAUGCUGUUGGGCUGCACAGCUGGUCCAAUUUGAGUGAGAGAAGGGUUUUAGGCCAUUUAAAAGAUGACCCAAAUUAAAUGAUUAUUUAGUCAAUUUUUAUUUAAAUUCCAGCCAAAUUAAAAAUUAAUCAACCAAUUGCAUUGCAAUGUGGCCUAACUGAUUUCAAUUAUGUCCAAAUUCAAUGAAUCGACCGAAUUAAAUCAAAAUUUUGAAUGAAUUAUAAACCAAUUUAAUUUCGAGUUUCUCGGCUUAAUAAAAUCGAACAAAUAUUUUUCAAAUAAAGUAUUAUCAAAUAUAAAAUAUUUUUUAAAUCAAUAUUUUACACAUUUGAAUCAAUUUUCAAGAUAACCCUUGAUUUAAAAUUAAAUUUUCCAUAAAACAAUUAUUUAAGUAACAAAAUUACAUGAUUUCGUAUGUGUGAAUACAAAGAUAUAUAAUUGUUACUUAAAAUGCCCGAAAUUACCUAGACAUAUACUUUAGAAAGUUUUGUUUUUCAAAAAAAUAAAUGUUGUAAUUUUAUAUAAGAUCAAAGAAACUAAGGUCUAAACUUAGUCGUGGAGAGAAAAAAUUAGGUGUCAACAAAUUCCUCCCUUUUGGGUAGGGUGGAUGCAAGUAACCCAUGGCAAGGGGAGUUUGAAGUUCCUAAUUUUUUCCGACCACAAAUUCAUUUACAAAAGAGGUUGGUUUUUGCAUGAGUUUAUAGAGAGUUAUGGUCGGACCUCGGUAUUGGGUUUACUAUAUAUCGCAAGUUACAUCAGAAAUCAGGCUACUUGUAGUUCAUAAAGCUUGAUUUGUAAGCGCAAUUUUUAAAAAAUUCACAAGUUAUUUCAGUUUUUGAGUUUUGAUAAAAACGUAACGCUGGAGAAUAAGGAGAUUUGGGGGGGGGGGGAAUGCAGUCGAGUUUUCAACAAAGAUCCCAGCCUACAUAUCUCUGAGACUCAGGAAAUCAGACUGCCUGUAGUUUGACUCGAUUGGUGGAAAAGACAGUCUUUUAUACUAAGAUAGCCUUUGGCUUAAGAUGAGCAACAGACAAUUGAGUUGCGAAAAAAAUGUUUGUAACCUCUUAACCAUUAAUGUAGAGCUCUUUACAUCCAUGGAAAAGAAUUUACCCGAACAUAAUUUUCAAAGCUCUAGGUAUGCUGUCACUCGAAUUUGAAAGAAAGAGAUGGUUACCUCCAAUAUGAGUUUACAAAUAUUUCGGAAGUGAAACUAAAACCAAAACCCAAAAACACCCACAUGACUUCUGAUAGGGAUGUUGUUUGAUGGUGAUGGAAGUCGUCUUUUAGCUCGCGUCCAAAGAUUUUGUUAUUCCUCUUCGGACUAUAUCCCAGUUUGCUGCUAAGAAAAAGUUCCACAUUGUGAUGCAUUCUUUUUGGAGUCGUCCGCACUUAUAAUUUUGGUUUGAGAUUUUCCUCCUUUUUGGAUGCUCUCAUCAACAUCUCAAACAAAAAUGUUAAUGAUAAACAUUAUUCACUAAGGGAUUUAUAGCAUUUUACCAUAUUUCCGUGUGAGUUGCUACCUGAUGAAGACAGCAUCCUCUCAUGUACCUGUUUAGAGGGUGAUAAUUCUUGCGAUAAUCGAUACAAAAACCCUUUUCUUUUUACAUAAAAUGGUUAUUUUGACGGUUGAAAAUUUUCUUCAAAGUAGGGUGGCCCUCUUGGGCACCGACGACACUUUGUAUAAAGCGGUCUCUGAAACGGAGUAAUUUUAUGCUGAUGUGGUAACCUUUUGGUUACCUAUAACGCUUCUUGUAUUUGACCUCGGGAGUCUUGUGCAUCUAUCGUAUCGAUACAACUUAUAGAUUUCCCUUGAAUAGUUAAUAUUUGGAUAUUAUUAUGCAUUAUUUGAUGUUGGAUAUGAGGCAAUUUAUAGAUAUCCUUUCAGUUGCUAGGUUUUGAGUAAUCCUGCACAUUAUUCGGCCUUGGAUAAGAGAUGACUUACAGAUAUUCGUCCAAUCACUAGCUCUCAAGUAUUCCUGCACAUUAUCCAACCUUGGAUACAGUAUGACUUAUAGAUAUCUCUGAAAUUAGUAGUCUUUGGGUAAUCUUGUACAUAAUCGAUCUUGGAUAUGAUGCGGCUUAUAGAAUGCCCUUAGACCUAUCGAUUUUGAUAAUCUUGAAAAUUUUCCAAUAAGAAUUUAGUUGUGACUUAUGAUAACCUUCAAACUAUCGAUCUUCGGGUAACCUUGCACACUAUCUGGUUAGGAUGACCCAUGGACUGUCAACUUGUGGAUAAUCUUGCAUACUACCCUAUUUCAAAUAACUUGACUUAUAAAUGACCCUCGGAUUGCCAAUUCUCAAAAAAUCUAGUACGUCAUACAUUUUCGGAUAGCGACUUAUAAAAAUCCUUUGGACCAUAUGUUUCUUGAGAUCCAAUAGUGAAUGCUAUUAAAUCUUUGAUGAUUGAUGCACUUGAAUCUGUUGAAUAUCUCUCAAUGCCAUAUUGCUUUGCCUUUGCAUGAUUUGAUCAGUUGUGGAUGCUUCAGAAUAUCCUUCAAUGCCAGACUCUUUUGUCUUCGCAUGAUUAUCGGAUAUAUAUGGAAAUACUUCAGAAUAUCCUUCAACAAUAGAAUCUUUCGCCUUUACGUGAUUAACAGAUAUAGAAGACUUUGAUUCAAUCAUGGGCAUCAAAUUAAAUAUGGAGAUGCCCUUGGAUUGUUGCCUCUUUGAAACUGUCAAAGAAGGCAAUAUGGUUUUUAGGAUAUGACCUUUACAGCAUGGUCCUCUUGGCAUAGCCCUUUCGGCAUGGCCCUUACGGCAUGACCCUCUCAGCAUGGACCUAUUGGCAUGGCCCUCUUAGCAUGGCCCUUUUGACAUGGCCCUGUCAGUAUGGCCCUCUCAGCAUGAUAUGAUGCAGUAGAAAGAUGAUGAUAAAUGUAAAUAACUGUGCAGCGAUUGUAGAAAACCUUACCUUAACCAUUCCACUAGCAUGUUGGACCUUCUGCAUGUACUAUUUCAAACAUCCAUCCUUGAUUUACUAGGGAUGUGAGUAAGUCAUCAUUUUUUUCCACGUCUGAUAAUACCUGUAUCCAUAGAAAACUUGUUAGUUUUUGAAACUCAAUUGUUUUCAGCUUCUUGACCAUCCUAGCCCUUUUUAUUAUCCUUGGGAUGUUUGGCUUUCUUGUAUUCCUUUAAACCAAAGGAUUAUGGUGAAUAAUCGGCACUUUUGCUGGUUUUUUGUUGGCUUCAGAAUAACCUGCACCCACAGAAAAAUUAUUAGUUUUUGUUAAAAUUAAUCUGUGUUGACUUUCUCGGUCUUUAGCUACUGUCAUCACCAUUUUGGGUUCUCAUUUUCUUCAUGUGUUUGUCAUCUUUUAACUCCUGCUUCAAAUCGUCGAGUUGGUGGGUGUAAGGUAAAAUUAGAGCAUAAAUUAAUCUAAAUUAAGUAUUUUUACAAAUAAUUAAAUUUUCAAAAAACUUUUUAUAAGAUUGGGAGGAGUCUUUGUCAAAUAAUUCAUGUCAUAUAUGAGCUUUAACGAACAUUUUUUAGCUCGAGGCGUUAGGUCGUUGUAGCAGAAGGUCCAUGAAGUUGACUCUGCUCUUUCGGCGCCAAAAUCUUUGUUGUCAUCUUUGAACUCUUUGGUACAAACUGGUGAAAAUUUUAAGGUCCGACUUAAAAUUUCUACCCUAGUUACUGAUAUCUCUCUCAAAAUUUGAUUUGGCUUGCUAGAGAAUGCUCUUCUUCUGUUGAAUUUUUUGAGAUCCCAUCUCAGAAACUCUUCCCCAGUAUCCCUUUCCUGGGGUGAUACGACUGAUCCAUUGUGGUGCCUACGUAUCCCGUUGAAUAGGGAUCAGGUCAAACAUAGCUCCCACCACAUAAAAGGGAAUAAAAUAUAGUCAAAAAGGUGACCAAAGCUUGCAAAAUCCAUCUAAGUAUCCCAUCCAUAGGAAUUUCGGUCAUCACAUAGUUCAAGAUAAGAUAAAAAAAUUCUAAGAGAUUGACCGAAGCCGACAUAGGUCAUCUUCGUAUCUCAUUCUUGAGAAUUCAGGUCAAAUGUAGUUCAUACAUAAAAGGAAAGAAGAUUCUAAAGAUACUACGAAGCAUAAGAAUGAUUACAAAUGAGAAAGAAAUUACAAGGAAAUAAGCACAAAGAAACCCCACAUCAGACAUAGUAGCUAUUCACCACAUCAAAAUUAAUUGGCUUGUUCCACCUUUGGCCAUCCAUUUCAGAUAAAAUCAAGACUCCUCCCGAUAACACUUUGCAGACUACAUACGACCCCUGCCAAUUUAGAGCAAAAUUUUCCUUAUACUCUUCUUGGUAAGGAAAUAUGCAUUUGAGCACCAAUUUCACAACUUCAAAUCAUCCGUUAUUGAUAUAAUUGUCCAUGACUUACAACGCUCAUCCUCUUUUUAUCAAUCAUCAUAAGUUGUUCAUGGCGGGCGCGGACCCAUUCUUCAUUGCUCAAUCCUGCUUCUCGGAUGAUUCUUAAAGAUGGUAUUUCAACUUCAGUGGGUAUUGCUACUUAUAUCCCAUAGACUAACACAUAAGGAGUUACCCAAGUCAAAGUUCUGACUGUCGUGUGAUAUCCCAGCAAGGUAUAAGGAAGCAUGGCGUGCCACGAUCGAUGACUAUCAACCAUUUUUCUUAAGAUCUUCUUGACAUUCUUGUUGGCAGCUUCUACCUCUCUAUUCAUUUGAGGGCAAUAUGCGGUUGAAUUUAGAUAAGUAAUCUUGAACUGUUCACAUAUCUCUUUCAUCUAAUGACUAUUCAAGUUUGCUCUAUUGCUCGUGAAGAUUGACUCAGGCAUCCCAAAUUAGAAAAUCAAGUUGUUCUUGACAAAAUCUUCUACCACCCUCUUAGUUACCACCUUGUAUGACGCAGCUUCUACCCACUUGGUAAAUUAAUUGAUAGUAACUAAAAUAAAUUUAUGUCUAUUAGAAGCUGGUGGCUCAAUCAGGCCGAUGACAUCCAUACCCCAAGCUACAAACGGCCAAGAAAAGUUCAUAACAUUAAGUUCGUAUGGGAGCACCCAGAUCAGAUCCUCGUGUAUCUGGCACAUAUGGUAUUUUUGCACAAACUUGCUACAGUCACUUCCAUCGCCAUCCAGAAGUUGGCUCUCAGGAUCUUCUAGGCUAGGGUGAACCCAUUCAUAUGAGGUCCACACGUUCCGGUGUGAAUUUCUUCAAGUAAUUUUGUUACUUUAAUAGAAUCUACACAUCACAGAAAUCCCAAAUCUGGGUCUUCCUAUAAAGGACUUCCCUAUUAAAAAAGAAAUUAUUGGCCAUCCGACGGAUCAUUUUCUUUUAAUUGAAGAUUGCAUCUUCGGGAUACGCCCUAGCUUCUAAAUACCUCUAGAUAUCAAAGUACCAUGGCUUUUCAUCUGGUUCUGCCUCAACUUAUGCUCAAUGUGAAAGUUGCUCCUUCACACUUAUUUCUAAUGGAUUGAUGUAACUUUGAUCCAGAUGUUAAAUCAUGGAGGAUAUAGUGGCCAAAGCAUCAGCGAACUUAUUAUGUAUUCUUGGAACAUGCUUGAAUUCCACUUUCUUGAAUCUUUUGCAUAACUCUUAUACCAAUUCAACGUAUGACGUGCUUUUAGGGUUCUUUACAACCCAUUCCCCCCUAAGAUGGUGAAAUAAAAGAUCAGAAUCUCUAAUGACUAGUAGCUUCCGAACAUUCAUAUUAAUAGCCAGUCUGAGAUCGAGAAUACAAGCCUCGUAUUCAUCCAUAUUGUUGUUUCAAGAGAAGCACAGUUUGGCGGUAACUGGAUAAUGUUGACCAGUUUUUGAUAUUAAGAUUUCCCCAAUUCUUAAACCCUUGAAGUUAACCGCCCCAUCGAAGAACAAUCUUCAGCCCGAGUAUAUUUCAACAAUGUCUUCCCCUAUGAACAAUACCUCUUCAUUUGAGAAAUAAGUUUGGAGUGGCUCAUACUCUUCAUUAAUUAGAUUUUCCACUAGAUGAUCCGCUAGGGUAUGCUAUUUGAUCUCUUUUUGAGUCACAUAUACAAUGUCGAAUGCACUCAAUAGCAUUUGACAUUUGGCCAAUUUCCCUGUGAGCAUGGCAUUUUGGAAUAUGUACUUUAAAAGAUCCAUUCUGGAGAUGAGAUAUGUUAUAUAUGACAUCAGGUAAUGCCUCAGCUUAUUGGCCCUGGUCAAUGCACAACACAUCCUUUCCAAUAGCGUGUAAUGAGCCUCAUAUAGAGUGAACUUCUUACUCAAGUAAUAAAUUAAUCUUUCCUUCUUUUCAGUUUUAUCAUGUUGCCCUAGACACAUCCAAAUGCUUGUCAAAGACCAAUAAAUACAACAACAUGGGGCUUUCUUCUCUUGGAAGAACUAGUAUUGGUGGACUGGAUAGAUAAUCCUUGAUCCGGUCAAAAGCUCACUGCAUUCUUCAAUCCAUUUAUUUGUCGCAUCUUUCUUUAAACAUCUUGAGGAUUGGUUUGCAAAUAACCAUUGACUUGGCUAUGAACCUGCUGAUGUAAUUCAAUCUCCCUAAGAAACUAAUGACUUCUUUGUUUGUCUUCGAAGGAGGAAACUCCUAGAUUGCCUUAAUUUUUGAGGGGUCGAGUUCAAUGCACCUUCUACUAACUAUGAAACCCAACAACUUUUCGGUCGGUACCCUAAAAUCACACUUAUUAGGAUUCAUCUUUAAAUUGUACUUUUACAAUUGAUCAAAGAACUUUCCCAAAUGGGCUACGUGGUUCGAGCCCUUGCGAGAUUAGAUGAUCACAUCAUCCACAUACACUAUAAUCUCUUUAUGAAUCAUAUCAUGAAAUAUGGUUAUCAUGGCUCUUAUAUAUGUAGCACCAGUAUUCUUGAGACCGAAGGGCAUCACCCUAUAGUGAUAAACACCCCAGGGUAUGAUGAAGGCCAUUUUCUCUGUAUUUUCUUCGUCCAUCAGUAUUCGAUGAUACCUAUCAAAUCAAUCCACGAAUGACCGUAUCUUAUUCCUCGCAUUGUUGUCAAUGAAAAUAUGGAUGUUGGGCAAUGGAAAGUUAUCUUUAGGACUGGAUUUGUUCAAGUCCCUAUAAUCGACACAAAUCAUGACCUUCCCAUCCUUCUUCGGUACUGAACAAUAUUGGCUAGCCAUGUUGGAUAUUUUGUGACCUCAAUCACAUUGGCUUAAAUUUUCUUCAUGAUUUCUUUAUUGACUUUUAGACUCAGAUCUGGCUUGAAUUUUUGCAACUUUUGAUUCACAAGAUUGAACCCCAGAUCAAUUGGAAACUUGUGAGAUACAAUAUCUGUACUCAAUCCUAGCAUGUCAUCAUAUGACCAAGUAAAUAUAUCAAUGUAUUCUUUAAGCAACCCGACGAGUUCUCCUUUCUGUGUUUCUAUUAGGUGAACGUUGAUUCUGGUUUCUUUGACUUCUCCAUCAUUACCUAUAUUAACUAUCUCGGUUUCUUUUAAGUUGGGCUUUUUCUGAUCCUUAAAAUCUUUCAGUUCCUCUGUUAAUCAUUUUGGGGCCAUUAUUUGUUCAUCAUAGUUCUCCCACUCAUCAUCAUUCACUUUGAAUUGUUCAUUUAGCUCAUGACAUAACAUGAUAUUGGUAGGUUUUAAAUUAUUAUUACUGUAGUAAAAAACAAUAUGAGUUACAUUAUAGUGAUCGAAUAAUGAAGUAAAAAUGAGUAAAAACAUCUUUGCAAUAAAAGAGGCUUUCAUUGAAAUUUAAAAUAUUACAGAGACUGCUAUGAUCUGCACUAGUAUGGGUCUGAGCAAUUUGGGAAACAUAAAAAAACAAAAAUGAGGUAAAUAAAACUUAAAGGGUCGGUCUCGAGCCUCAUUUGGACUGUCACUGAUUUUGAAAAAAGCUAAAUUUCAUCCUUUCAUCUACCACAUCAACCGGGCAGUCAUGAUUGAAAUAGAAGUCCAGUUCGACAGCUUCUCCCCUAGUUCAUCUUUCUUGAUCUUAGUCUUCUCAAGUAAAUCCUCCAUAAUGGAAUCACACUUUUCAAACAAGUUACCUAUUCCUUCCUCGAUAUCAUCAUUUGUAGGCUUUACAGAUACAGAAAAUGACUGGUAAAGCGGAGGUAACUUUUUUGCCGAUUCUGGGCCUUCUCUCUUCAUCUGUCUUUCACCUUCUUUAGUUGGCACAUAGCCUAUCCCAUAUUUGAAAAACUUCUUUGGGAUUGCGAUAGGCUCGAUGAUCCCAUUCGAAUUCUUUCCUAAGUCACGCUGAGCUCAAAACCGCUUCUCAGCAUAACAAUGGCCAAUAUCUUGUAAAUCGAAGGCAUUAGCUCGUAAGGAGUUAAGUCUUUCUCAGCUGCAUUCAUGAUCUCCACUAUAUAAAAGUAUCUUUCUUUCAGUACUUCUUCAACAUAGGAACAUAAACAUUAGGGUGACUCGGGCGGCUUAUUUCCCCAUGGAUGACCACUUUAUUAUUUUCCCACACGAAUUUCAUCGAUUUAUGCAAUAUUAAAGAAACGACCCCCACUGCAUGAAUCCAAAGGAUUCUUAAGAUAAGAUUAUAACUUGUAGAAAUGUCCAUCACCUGAAACUCAACUAACAACUCUGCCAGCCCCAUUUGAAGAUGCAACUUGACUUCUCUAGUGGUGUUUCUCUGACCUCCGUCAAAAGCUUACAUUUACCAUAUUCUGAUGAAGUUUCCUUAUAUCACAGUUCAGCUGAGUCAGAAUAAAUAGUGGACAAAUAUUCAGACCUGGUCCAUCGUCAAUUAACACCCUGUUAACAACCUUAUUUGGCAUUUGGCAGUGAUAUGCAAUGCCUUGUUGUGCAUUACUCUUUCGAAGGGUAACUCAUCUCCUCCAAAGCUAAUAUAAUGAGAUCCUACCACUUUACUGAUCAUGGCCACCAAGUUUUCAGUAUUGGUGCCUAUGGGCAUGUAGGCUUCUUCAAGGACUUUCAGCAGAGCUUGUCUAUGAUAUUGAGAACUCAUGAUCAAUGCCCAAAUAGAAAUCUGAGCAGGGGACUUCUCUAAAUGUUUUACAAUAGGGUACUCCUUCGGCUGCAUUCUUCUCCCAAAUUCUUUGGCUUCCCCUUCAAUGAUUGGACUUUUUUAGCACUCUUUUUGUAUGCAUCAUUGGUAAGAUCCUGUGGAGUGUAGCAUCUCCAUAAUCUAGCCAUCCUUACGCAGUGGUGGCUUCUACCACAAAUUUUUCUCUAGCGGGAACUAAGGCAAAAGCUGGAUGAGGUGCGAUGAAUGCAACAAACUUGGGCUUCUCGAUAACAUUUUAAGCAGCCACUACCUUUUCUAUAUCUUUCAUCUUAUAUAUUUCUUUUAGGAUAGCCUUUGUUAUAGACUUUCUCACUACCCACUAGCCAUCUCUUUCUAUCAUGCUAAUGGUUGCCUAUUCAUUAUUAGGGAGUGGGUUGGUGGUAGCAUUUGGCUACACGGUUUAAAGCGAAAUCACCUUUUAAUUAAUCAAAUCUUGAAUCUUAUGCUUCAAAUUAAUACAAUCCUCAGUUAUGUGUCCAACACCCCUGAAUGAUAUGCAUAUGUUGGUCAGCAUAGAAGAAUCAGGAAUUGGUAUUGGCUGGUUUCGGUGGGAUAGGUUGGAUGUGAUCUGCUUUCCUUAGCCUUUCAAAUAAUUGAGUUUUGCUUUUAGCCAAACCAGUAAAACUUUUAGUGAAUUUCUUUUUGUUAUUCGGGCGAGGAAGAUUUUGGUAAGCAGAGAGGGACUUGAUGGUAAUUCUGGUUAACUGGGGCUCUUUGGUAGUCAUGGAAAUUUGGGAGUGGAUCUCGGUAAGUAGGCUGAUAAUUUGGCAAUAAAGCUGGGUAAUUCGAUUGAUUGGUAGAUAAAUUUGGCUGUUAAACUUGGGGGCUAGUUUCGGUGUAUAACACGAGUUGAGGAUUUUGUAGAGCUAGGGGAUAUAUAGGCGAUGAUGUUAUUUUCCCAUAACUGGGCUCGAAAGAUUUCUUUGACUUCGGGUUUGGACUAAAGGAUAUGAAAGACACAUCUUCUCUCUUUUUCUUUGGGAAUCCUGAAGAUCAAGGUUAUGAAGAGGUCUUGCUAAUUUUUUUUUGUCCUGAGUCCUUCUUUAACUGUUUCACCAAUCUUAACCAAGUCAGCAAAGGUAGCAGGAACUGCUGAUAUCAUUUUGUCAUAAAACUCUCCCUCCUGAGCUUGGGUAAACAUAACAACUAUUUAUUCUUUUGUCAGAGGAGGUCGUACCUUUGCUGCCUCUUUCCACUAAUGAUAGGUAUAUUCACAAAAGAAUUUAUUAGACUUUUGCUUGAUGCGGUUCACAUAAUAUAGAUCAGGAAUCAUCUCUACAUUAUAGGUAAAUAUUUCAACAAAAUCCUUGGCUAAAGCACUCUAUUCAGGCCACUUCUUCAGUUUCUAUGAAGCAAAUCAUUCUAAUGUUUCUCCACUCAGGCUUCGACAGAAGAGUCUCAUCAGCAAUGCCUUAUUUCUACCAGCACCUACAAUUUGGUCAUAAUAUCCUCUCAAGUGGGUCGUAGGGUUCCCAGUACCAUUGAAUGUCUCAACUUAAGAACAUUAAAUCCUUUAGAAAGGUUCAAGUCAGGGCGAAUACAAAGGUCAUCAUAACUGAACCCUACAGUAUUGAGCGAACCAUGUAUUUUCUUUAUCCUGGCGAUCUCUUCCUUUAUCAACAGUAGCUCCCUAGCAUAUUUGUCUUUAGGCCCCUUACUCUUCUUACCCAUCUCCUCAUACUGGUAAAUUUCUAGAUUUUGUGGGGAAGUAUGGUAAGAGGCAGGCACUACAAUAGCGUGGAUGGUGGAGUGAGACACAUUUUUUGGUCAUCGAAGGAUUUUGAGUGGUGUGAGCAAAGUUUUGGUAUGUAGGAAUUGGAUUUUGGGGAACGUUGACAUUGAGACUGAAAGUGGGGUGGGUAUUUUAGAAAGUGAAGGCAUUUGUGAAAGUGUUUUGGUAAUUUAGAGUGAAGCUUUGAGAGUGGUAAGUAUUUGGAUGAUUUUCUCGGUUGGUAUUAUAAAAAAGAGAGAUAUAGGUUUGACACAACAAAUUGAUGAUAUUAGUGAGAGGCCUGGGUAUAGAAUGGAGGGUAUGUCAUUUGGUUGGCUUCCACUGUUAGGAGACUUAAGAGAAGGGAAUCAAAGUGGAAGCACAUGGGUAUCCAAGACUGGCGUUUUAGUUGCAAUGGCCAAAUUAGCCAUAUCUUUUGCGUGUUGUAGUUCUUCUUGAAGCUCCUACAUUCUUCUAGUUAGUUCAGUGAUCAUCUCACCUUGUGUCAUUAUCACACCAUCUCUAAUAGUAAUUUCGGUGAGAGCAUUAUCAUCGCUACUAUCGGUCAUUCUUUAUUCUUCAGUUAAGCAAUGGUCAAGGGAGGAAUUUUUAUUUGCCUUAGAUCUAGUGAAAUAUUGAUCUCCAGCGAGUUUUAUAACCAUAGGUCAACUUCUACUUACUUGAUAUCAGACAACUCCAAAGGAAAAUAUGUUAGAUUCGCUUAGUGAUAAAUAAUGCAAGAUAUCCGACAUAAAGUAAACACAUAAAGUUGCUUUUAUUUUAGGUAAAUUGAUCCAUGAGUGGGUAUUAACUCGAAAGGAAUUAACGGGCGGGACUUUGUCCGUUGAUUUUUGGAUAAAUGGGUUUUGACAAGAUUUUUACCAAGGCUUCUAAUUUUGUACUCAUAUGACUUUCUUUGACAAAAUGAGACAUAAUGAUUUUAAAUGAUAGAGGCCACGAUGAAAGGAUGUGUACGUAUCUCACAAAGGAGAAAUCAGGUCAUACGUAGUUCAAAUAGGUAAGGAUAAAACUUCAUUUCAUUGAAAUCUCACUAGAGUUCGUUACAUUAGCGGAACAUGAAAAGAAAAAUGACAACAAAAAAAAAGAAACUAAAUGACUAAGUCUUAGAUAGAUGUGGGCAUUCCCACUUCAUUCUGCCUUUUCCACAUCUUGAUCUUCUAUGGGUGGUAUAGCAAAAAUUCCAACUCAACCCUUCCUGUAUCCACCAGGCUCUCUAAAUCUAUCUUAAAAGCAUGGAAAGUUUCCAAGUUGUGCCCUUCGAUGCCUCCAUUAUAGUGACAAAUCUCUCUGAAUUUCUUCCAAGCUUUAAAUAUCGUAUUAUGCUUCUUUUUCACUGGUUCCAGAAUUUUGGCAUUGAUGAGCUUUGAGUAGAUUUCAUGGUAGGUAUCUUCAAACCUUGUGAAGUCGUAUUUGUGAAUCUAUAGGUCAUUGGUGAUGGUCAUGCCUAGAUUAACCUGAUCGCAAUAAAGAAUGGUUUAUGGUCCCCAUAAAUUAUUUAUUUGACCAUCGCGAAUCUUGGCCUUCAGAGCAAAACACUCGUCAGUGGUAUGACCAGUUUAUUGGGAUCAUCCUUGGGAAAACAACAAAAUCCUUCUAUUUGAUCAUGGUGGAGGACCCCCAUAUUUCUUAGGAUUUGAUAAACUAUCGAGCAUGUUAUGAUCUAAGGAUACCGAGAGCAUGCUCUGAAGUGAGCUCUGCAGGUGAUCUUUUCACUUCCCGACCUAAUCCUAGUUGGCUAGAUGGCAUACCCUUUAGUAUUGGCCCAGCUUUCAUCUCUUAGGUUUGCAGGUGGAACUUGCUCAAACUUCUUUUUUUCCUGCUUGAUCAACUGGUUGACUUCGAUAAUUUCUUUGUCGGCCUGAUCAACCUUCCUAAUCAGUCUUUUGAUUUCUUCUUUUUGCAUUUCCUCCACUUGGGCUAACUCUACUAUCCGUCUUUUCAUUUGUGUGGUCCAUGAAUCCAUGAAAAAUUUUCUUGAAAGAAUAGGAAUAUGUUUAUCAAGAAAGCUAAAGAAAAUAGUUGACGACUUCUUGAGAAACUUGGGGAGCUGGAAUGUCUUGGGCAAACUUUUGAUAGUAAGAAUAUAUUUUGCCUAAAGGGUUUUCAAGGAUUUAUUGAGUUGUGGAUCAAUUUACCUUUGAUUAACAAUACACAUAGCACUUAAACAGUUAUAUCACAUAAUACAUUUAUAUUUCACAACAAUAGAAUAAUAAAUAACGAGCCCUAAUUGGGUGACACUUUUGAGCCAAAGGUUGUCCUAGAGAAUUUGAAGGAAAUAUAUGUCUUUUAAACCAAUAAAGUAUCCCUCAAAAUCUCCAUAGAUAUUUAUAAAUCCAUAAGUGUUGACAAAAGUUUCAUAAGGGGAUACAAUCUUUAGGGAAAGGGGAAAUGAUAUGAAAAGAACAAAGUCCCACACAGGGGAUAAAGACUAACUCCUAGAUGCUCCUCCAUUGGCGUUCGAUCUCUUAGAAUUAUCCACCUCUUGACAUAUGUGAUAUAUGUUGAUGACCAGAUGACUCCCGCAUAAUUAUACUUUAUUCUUGUAGGUUGUCUCCCCUAUGCUAUCAAUUUGAUAAGCUAUGUGAUCAUGCAAAUUAAGCAAGCAUUGUCUUGUAUCAAUAACCUCUUACCUAGAUCUAUUUAAAUCUUCCCUCAACAGAUGUAUAGUUGAGGCAUCCUCCAUAUGCAUAUGCUGGUAUGCCAUUUCACUUCUUUAAAAUUCGUCCUGAAGCCUAUUGAGCCAGAUCUGGUGUUCUUACUCUACAUCAAUUAUUUGUGUGGGUACAUUCGCACCCAGUACCAAUGUUCCAGCAAGAUUCUCCUUCAACCACUCUUUGUAGGUAUCACUAACCUCAGGUUCAUACCCAAUACAAAAGGAGACUUCUUUGGUAUUUCUUCUUCUCCACCGAUCUACCAUGUACUAUUUGAGUGGAGUUUCACCUUCAUCAUACUUGGUGAUGAAUCUAACCAUAGGCGUUGUUUAUGAUAUUUCCUGCUUGAUUUCAAACUACCUAAGAACCCUGUCGGGGUUGUAAGGACGAGUUCUCCUAAGACCUGGAAGUAUUAAAAAGGCCAUUCUUUUCCUCAAGUGAUGUACUUCCCUGGAUGAAGAUAUUUGAUAGACCACUGAACGUUGUCCUCUCUCAAUUCCCCAAAAACCUUGAACCGAAAUCCCAGAGAGUCUAUCAUCUUAAACCUGUACAAGGAUAGCCAAAUGUCAUGUGAUGAUAAAAGAUCUACCCUUUUCCAAGGGUCUGGCUUCUUUACUCUGGUAUUUUUCAAUAAAUGUUUCAUCAUCCACCAUUGAAAUAUAAGGUUGCACCCUUGGAAGAAACGAUUCCUACCUUGACACAUUCCCAAAGCCCUAUAUAUUUUAGCGAUAAUCAUGGAAGCUAGAGUAUGGAAUACUUUAGUGGUUUUGUAAUCUACUUCUUAUAGGAAGGCGUGCAUUACCAUAACAACUCUUAGAUUAAUGGUGUCAUUCUCUCCUUGCAGGAACACCAUAGUUCCAAGCAAACCUACAGCGAAAACAAAUGCUCUUUUCUCCCUCCAUUUUGACUCUGAUUUGAAUUUGUGUCCAAACUUCUAAAAGCGUUAUACUUUUUGAACCAGCUAUAUAGAUCACAAAAAAGGUAUGUUAUCUCUAUCAUGUUCCCCCAACCAGGUAUCAUCGUUGAUCAAAAAGGCAUCUUUGAUCUCCUGACGGUUUCAUAAAGUAGGGACUAUAAUACUUUUUUCGGGUGCACUCCUUCUUUUUUUCCUAUACAUAUGAAGUCUCUCAUAACAGGCCACUACUUCUUCAAUAGUGGGGUUCAAUUCGACUUCCUCAUAGCGAAACACCAUGUUGUCAUCAUUUGAGAAUGUUGUUAGUAAAUGGAUCAUUUCAGGACAAAUGUUCAUAUCUUGAAGCUCAGGUAGAUGCCCGAUAUGUGUACUAACAAUCUCUUUGUCUUUUUCACCCAUAUGAGUCCACCAUACCUCCAGGAAGUUAUCAGGUCCGGUAACCAUCUUUAACUUUCUACAAGGGUAUGCUUGAGCCAUUCCUACAUGAUAGAAAUAAAAGUAAGACUUCUCCCUACCCCAAAGGAUAAUUGAUUGGAUUAAACAGACAUAUAUUUUUUCAACACAUAAGCAUGAUUCGUUUGUAAUUGGCUCGUGGCUAAUAGAAGCAGAACAAUUUUUCUAAUGGGCCUAAUAUCCCCUCGAGUAUUGGGCCGCCCUAGGCUCAUGCCUAAAAGAAGAUUUUGGUUUCGCUCUAUCUUAGGUGUCUAGAGUGGGGCUUUGGAAUAGGUUCCCAAGCGGAAGACUUGGGUUUAGAAAUACGAACAGUCAUCGGACGCCUAACGUGACAAUAAACUGAUGUAUUUCCAGCAUUUGAUUUGGAGUUGAACAAUAGGGGUUGGGACAUCCACGAAAUCCCAAAUAAUUUAUAUAUUUUGAAUGCAGAAAUAUGUCACGAAAUGCAAUAAUUUAAAAUUUGCAAAAAUUUAAACACAUAAGAAGACAAACAGUGUAAAUAUUACAACCCAAAUAGUUAGACAAAGAAGUUAGCACACAUUUGGUUAGAACCUAGUGAAGUCCCCAGCAGAGUCACCAUUUCUUUUUUAUCCUUUUGCGGAUUUUACUUAAAAGAAAAUGGUUUUGACCCUUUUAAACUAUUUCGAAAGAUUUAAGAGAGUUUCAAAAUUAUUUUUGACAAAUUUAUAGAGUCGCCACUUGAUUUUUUUUAUCAAAAAUAUCAAGAAAACUUAAAGAGAUUUCAAAGAUUCAAAAACCAAAAUAAAUUUUUGAAAAAUAGAGAAAUUGAGUAAGGGUUCAAUUAACGCCCUUAGAAGAUUUUUACGGCACUUAGGAGCGUCUGUUUUAAAACGGUUCAUCAAAAGAUUAUAUUUUGACUAAAAAAGAGUGACUAACUUUGCAAAGGUUGAUUUUUUAAUAUUUAUAUUAUUUAUCCAUACAUCUAAAAAAUCGUAUUUGUUUGUUCAAACAAGGAAUAGCCUACUUGAAUUAGGAAAAAGCUAUAUUAUAUUCUACUUAAUUCAAUAUUAAUUUUGAGAAAAAUUACGAAAUAUUUCAUUUAGAUUGAGAAACAUUACGGAAUAUCUUGCUUGAGAAAAUAUUCUACUUAAUCACGAGGAAGCUAGAAUUUGAGAAAAACAAUCAAGGAAUAUGCUAGUUGGGAAACUUCAACUUAAUUCGUAAUUACUUCUAGAUAAAUAUAGAAUAUUUACUUCAAUUAAAAUAAACCUAUCUAAACUAGAUUACGCUUUUGAGUUUAUAGAGGAAAUAAGUUAAUUUUUUAAGGAAAUUGAGAAUUAUAUGAUUAUUUAUUAUUAUUGUCAUAAAUAUAGUCAUUUUGUUAUAAAUAACACCUUUGAAAUAUUUUAAGAAAGUAUCAUUUUAUCAAUUAUGAAAAAUUUGGAACUUGCGAGAAAAUUAGUUUCUUGAAUUUGAAGAUAAUUACUUUUUAACCCAAGUAGUCUAUCAGUCAAGUGAACAAGACAAGUGUUAUUUUCAAGUAGAGGACUUAAUGAUUUUUCUCUUUUAAAAAAAAAAUUAAUUUAGGAAUAGCAAUCGAAAGAACCACUUUAAUCCAUUUUAGAAAAAAUAAAUUAGGUGAGAAAAUUUGUGAAUUAAAUAUGGAAAUCGAGGUAAAACAAAUAGCAACAACAUGGGGAAACACCAGAUUAAUUAAUUAAGGUUAGUUCAAAUACAAAAUAAACAAGUAUAGCAGUUGCAAUUUAAGAGAAUAAAAGGUUAAAGUUGGAGUUGGGCCUUUUUUGGCCCAUCAGUGAGUUGCCCAGCCUUUGGGCUUCCCAUUUUAUGGAAUUUAGGUCCAUUUUCCUGUAGGGUAUACCACAUGUAUACCAGCUAUAUUCUUCUGCAUUUUUAUGUAUAUAUGGUGUAUAUAUGACUGUAUUUCAGUCACAUACACACAACUUUAGUCCUCCCCUGUAUAAUCAGCUUCCCUUUCACAUUUUCAGCCGUAGAUACUCAGUAUACUGGCGUAUAUCUGUGUAUACAACUUAGAAUCAUCCCAUUUUUCUUCUUGCAUUAGUCCAUUUUGGACUUGAUGUAGGUCUUGACUCGAUGUUUCAGCAACUUAGUCUCAAGGAAACAUAAGAUAUUGAGUCCAAUUGAACUCCAUUGGAAUUCAUGGAAAAAGCAAAGAAACAAAGGAUUAAUGAAAUGAAGAAAAAAGAAUAAAUAACUUUGUAUACUAGCUUGCUUAAUUAUAACAUAGAAGAGCAUCCAAUAAUAUUAGACAAAUCCCCUACUCCUAACUAUGUUAAAACAAUACAGAUUUCAAAAUAUUAAGACUUCAUGCAACAUUAAUCACCCCAGCAAAUUUCUUUAAGUUCUAUUACAUGCUUUGGCAUAUUACAAAACAUAAAUUAGGCCAAUCGAGCAGGUUAAACUAAAAUCUCUUCAAAACCAUUCCAUGCAUUAGAUUUCUAUGUUAUCUAUGUUUCAAACCUCCUAUGAAAACAUGCCUUUAAACCUAUAUCGACCCGAAUCAGGAUCUUUGAAAAAGGAUUUCAUAAGAGGGAAGUUGCUAAACUAACCAUAAUGAUAGGCAGGAACAAAGAAGACGAAAAGAAAAUCUCCUAGCACGAGACAUCACAAGUUACUAAUAAUGGAUCAAGAUUCGAUCUUUAUUUAAUACUUAGACAAAACAAGCUAUCAUCCUGCGACUCCCUCCUAUCAAAUAAACAUUAAGAAAGAACAUGCCAGUCGAGUCCAAACACAUAGAUUAACGUACUAAGUCAAAACAAAAAAGGAGCAAGAAGGUCGUCGAGGAGUCUUUGAUUUUGCAGUCCUUGGUUUUACAUUAAUUCCAAUAAGGCAUAAUGGAACAGUUUGCAUUGUAAUCACAUAAACACUAGGAUAACAUCUGUUCAUUCAAACGUUCAACAGGCAGACAUCGCAAGUUGCUAAACUUCAGAACAUAUUUUUUUAACAGAACAAGCCCCCUAAAGCCUAAAGCUUUCCAACCUCAAACACAUAUAAACACCUUAAUACCUUUACAUCCAACAACAACCAAAAGACAGUAUAAUGGAACAAUGGUCUUAACAAAAAUAGUGUCGAAAAGGCGGAGUUUGCACCUUUUUUGGAGCAGGAACGGGAACUUCAAAACUCUUCCGAACAAAUCCCACCACAAUUUCUAGUUGCCAUUAGGAUUCCAGUGAUUUUUGAUGGGUUUUUUAUAAUGCUCCGAAGAUCUCUUGUUUAUGUAAGGUUAUAGGUGCGCACCUCCAGAACCUCAAUUUUUUCCCAAGAAAAACCUUCUCUCAUCCUUGUCCCUUGCUCUCUAUUUAUAGGGGAAGCUAGGGUUUUGAAAUAGUGGAAUUCAAACCUAAAAUUUCAAAUUCAUUCCUAAAAAUUUUGAUUAUCCAUAGUGAGACAAAGGCCAUUAAUGGCCUGUGUACUCAAGAAUCAGUAGAGAGAUGGAGAAAAAGAGACGUUUGGCUUUGAAAAGGGAUGUUGGCUAAGUUGGUCAAAUGGGUAAAUUAAUUUUUCGGCUGAAAAUUGUGAAAGCCUUCUACCUUUUGACCAUGAAUUGGUGAACCAUAAGGGCAAAAUGAUAAAUAGGGGUGAUUUUAGGUUUUGCCAUUGGUUGACCGUCGUUGUUGUUGCUUUGUCGUUACAGCAUUGAGAUUGUACGUUGUUGUUGUUGCUCUAUGAAAUCGCUGGUGUGAUUGUUGUUGAUUAUACGUGGUUUUUGGAUUGUUGUUGUCGUCGUUUUUCAUUGUUGAAAUUGAUACAACGUUUGUUG
Molecule: long non-coding RNA, 19315 nt
Filed under: Capsicum annuum
Lineage: Eukaryota; Viridiplantae; Streptophyta; Magnoliopsida; Solanales; Solanaceae
Description: long non-coding RNA (CANN_LNC002940)
Source: RNAcentral